Paramuricea clavata is the source of this 267-nucleotide non-coding RNA. NCBI's taxonomy places the organism in Eukaryota, Metazoa, Cnidaria, Anthozoa, Malacalcyonacea, Plexauridae. The record is from the annotation of a GenBank genome assembly.
GCAAUACGUAGAAAUGGGAUAAUUUAUGCUCUACAAAUUGCGUAAAGUUGGUUAUACAUUUGGUAUUUCGCAACGAAGAGGAUAUGUAUAUUAUGCGUGUCUUUGCGGCAUUAGCGUGUCUUUGCUGUAGACAAAGGCAUUCGUUUAUAGUGACUAGUGUACAAUAAGAUUCCCUGACCCUGGUUUGUGUCUGAACUUCCUCAUAAAGUUAUGUCAUAAAACACACUUCAACAUUUCAAAGAAACGCCCUUCAGCUUCGUCGGUAAC